GUAGCUAUAGUUUAAUCAAAACAUUAGAUUGUGAAUCUAAUAAUAGAGGUUAUCAACUUCUUAUCUACC
RNAcentral lists this transfer RNA (69 nucleotides) under Cheracebus torquatus (collared titi). RNAcentral describes it as "tRNA-His". It matches the Rfam family "tRNA". From Rfam's summary of the family: Transfer RNA (tRNA) molecules are approximately 80 nucleotides in length. Lineage: Eukaryota; Metazoa; Chordata; Mammalia; Primates; Pitheciidae. The record is from RNAcentral. RNAcentral also lists the same sequence under 1 other name.